AUUGAACGCUGGCGGCAGGCCUAACACAUGCAAGUCGAGCGGAUGAAGGGAGCUUGCUCCUGGAUUCAGCGGCGGACGGGUGAGUAUGCCUAGGAAUCUGCCUGGUAGUGGGGGAUAACGUCCGGAAACGGGCGCUAAUACCGCAUACGUCCUGAGGGAGAAAGUGGGGGAUCUUCGGACCUCACGCUAUCAGAUGAGCCUAGGUCGGAUUAGCUAGUUGGUGGGGUAAAGGCCUACCAAGGCGACGAUCCGUAACUGGUCUGAGAGGAUGAUCAGUCACACUGGAACUGAGACACGGUCCAGACUCCUACGGGAGGCAGCAGUGGGGAAUAUUGGACAAUGGGCGAAAGCCUGAUCCAGCCAUGCCGCGUGUGUGAAGAAGGUCUUCGGAUUGUAAAGCACUUUAAGUUGGGAGGAAGGGCAGUAAGUUAAUACCUUGCUGUUUUGACGUUACCAACAGAAUAAGCACCGGCUAACUUCGUG
This 483-nucleotide ribosomal RNA is filed under the name uncultured bacterium. RNAcentral's name for it is "partial 16S ribosomal RNA". It matches the Rfam family "Bacterial small subunit ribosomal RNA", at positions 30 to 507 of the family's 1533-position model. The record is from RNAcentral.